GAACGUUACCAAACUGUUGCCUCGGCGGGAUCUCUGCCCCGGGUGCGUCGCAGCCCCGGACCAAGGCGCCCGCCGGAGGACCAACCAAAACUCUUUUUGUAUACCCCCUCGCGGGUUUUUUUUAUAAUCUGAGCCUUCUCGGCGCCUCUCGUAGGCGUUUCGAAAAUGAAUCAAAACUUUCAACAACGGAUCUCUUGGUUCUGGCAUCGAUGAAGAACGCAGCGAAAUGCGAUAAGUAAUGUGAAUUGCAGAAUUCAGUGAAUCAUCGAAUCUUUGAACGCACAUUGCGCCCGCCAGUAUUCUGGCGGGCAUGCCUGUCCGAGCGUCAUUUCAACCCUCGAACCCCUCCGGGGGGUCGGCGUUGGGGAUCGGCCCUGCCUCUUGGCGGUGGCCGUCUCCGAAAUACAGUGGCGGUCUCGCCGCAGCCUCUCCUGCGCAGUAGUUUGCACACUCGCAUCGGGAGCGCGGCGCGUCCACAGCCGUUAAACACCCAACUUCUGAAAUGUUGACCUCGGAUCAGGUAGGAAUACCCGCUGAACUUAAGCAUA
This 548-nucleotide ribosomal RNA is filed under the name Trichoderma sp. YIMPH30004. RNAcentral's name for it is "eukaryotic LSU rRNA". The stretch from base 175 to 328 matches the Rfam family "5.8S ribosomal RNA". Lineage: Eukaryota; Fungi; Ascomycota; Sordariomycetes; Hypocreales; Hypocreaceae. The record is from RNAcentral.